UACGUAGGGGGCAAGCGUUAUCCGGAUUUACUGGGUGUAAAGGGAGCGUAGACGGCGAUGCAAGUCUGAAGUGAAAGCCCGGGGCUCAACCCCGGGACUGCUUUGGAAACUGUAUGGCUGGAGUGCUGGAGAGGCAAGCGGAAUUCCUAGUGUAGCGGUGAGAUGCGUAGAUAUUAGGAAGAACACCAGUGGCGAAGGCGGCUUGCUGGACAGUAACUGACGUUGAGGCUCGAAAGCGUGGGGAGCAAACAGG
RNAcentral lists this ribosomal RNA (253 nucleotides) under uncultured bacterium. RNAcentral describes it as "partial 16S ribosomal RNA". It matches the Rfam family "Bacterial small subunit ribosomal RNA", at positions 524 to 776 of the family's 1533-position model. The record is from RNAcentral.